AGAGUUUGAUCCUGGCUCAGGAUGAACGCUGGCGGCGUGCCUAAUACAUGCAAGUCGAACGAAUCUCUUUUAGAGAUGAGUGGCGAACGGGUGAGUAAUACAUAGGUAACCUGCCCCUGUGCGGGGGAUAACAGGAGGAAACUCCUGCUAAUACCGCAUAGCCAUGAGCACCGCAUGGAGCUCAUGCCAAAUAUCCUUUCGGGGACAGCGCAGGGAUGGACCUAUGGCGCAUUAGCUGGUUGGCGGGGCAACGGCCCACCAAGGCAACGAUGCGUAGCCGGCCUGAGAGGGCGGACGGCCACAUUGGGACUGAGACACGGCCCAGACUCCUACGGGAGGCAGCAGUAGGGAAUUUUCGGCAAUGGGGGAAACCCUGACCGAGCAACGCCGCGUGAGCGAAGAAGGCCUUCGGGUCGUAAAGCUCUGUUGUAAAGGAAGAACGGCGCAUACAGGAAAUGGUAUGCGAGUGACGGUACUUUACCAGAAAGCCACGGCUAACUACGUGCCAGCAGCCGCGGUAAUACGUAGGUGGCGAGCGUUAUCCGGAAUCAUUGGGCGUAAAGAGGGAGCAGGCGGCCGCAAGGGUCUGUGGUGAAAGACCGAAGCUAAACUUCGGUAAGCCAUGGAAACCGGGCGGCUAGAGUGCGGAAGAGGAUCGUGGAAUUCCAUGUGUAGCGGUGAAAUGCGUAGAUAUAUGGAGGAACACCAGUGGCGAAGGCGACGGUCUGGGCCGCAACUGACGCUCAUUCCCGAAAGCGUGGGGAGCAAAUAGGAUUAGAUACCCUAGUAGUCCACGCCGUAAACGAUGGUCACUAAGUGUCGGGGGUCAAACCCCGGUGCUGCAGUCAACGCAAUAAGUGACCCGCCUGAGUAGUACGUUC
This 881-nucleotide ribosomal RNA is filed under the name uncultured bacterium. RNAcentral describes it as "bacterial SSU rRNA". It matches the Rfam family "Bacterial small subunit ribosomal RNA", at positions 8 to 887 of the family's 1533-position model. The record is from RNAcentral.